RNAcentral lists this ribosomal RNA (233 nucleotides) under uncultured bacterium. Its description in RNAcentral is "partial 16S ribosomal RNA". It matches the Rfam family "Bacterial small subunit ribosomal RNA", at positions 794 to 1025 of the family's 1533-position model. The record is from RNAcentral.
UCCACGCCGUAAACGAUGUCAACUAGCCGUUGGGUCUAUUUAUAGGCUUAGUGGCGGAGCUAACGUAUUAAGUUGACCGCCUGGGGAGUACGGCCGCAAGGUUAAAACUCAAAUGAAUUGACGGGGGCCCGCACAAGCGGUGGAGCAUGUGGUUUAAUUCGAUGCAACGCGAAGAACCUUACCUACCCUUGACAUCCAGAGAAUCUGUUAGAGAUAGUAGAGUGCCUUCGGGA